ACGGGUGAGUAACGCGUAAUCAACCUGCCCUUCAGAGGGGGAUAACAACGGGAAACCGUUGCUAAUACCGCGUACGAUUCACAGGCGGCAUCGCUUGUGAAUGAAAGGUGGCCUCUAUGUAUAAGCUAUCGCUGAAGGAGGGGAUUGCGUCUGAUUAGCUAGUUGGAGGGGUAACGGCCCACCAAGGCGAUGAUCAGUAGCCGGUCUGAGAGGAUGAACGGCCACAUUGGGACUGAGACACGGCCCAGACUCCUACGGGAGGCAGCAGUGGGGAAUCUUCCGCAAUGGACGAAAGUCUGACGGAGCAACGCCGCGUGAGUGAUGACGGCCUUCGGGUUGUAAAGCUCUGUUAAUCGGGACGAAAGGCCUUCUUGCGAAUAGUGAGAAGGAUUGACGGUACCGGAAUAGAAAGCCACGGCUAACUACGUGCCAGCAGCCGCGGUAAUACGUAGGUGGCAAGCGUUGUCCGGAAUUAUUGGGCGUAAAGCGCGCGCAGGCGGAUCGGUCAGUCUGUCUUAAAAGUUCGGGGCUUAACCCCGUGAUGGGAUGGAAACUGCCAAUCUAGAGUAUCGGAGAGGAAAGUGGAAUUCCUAGUGUAGCGGUGAAAUGCGUAGAUAUUAGGAAGAACACCAGUGGCGAACGCGACUUUCUGGACGAAAACUGACGCUGAGGCGCGAAAGCCAGGGGAGCGAACGGGAUUAGAUACCCCGGUAGUCCUGCCGUAAAC
Molecule: ribosomal RNA, 727 nt
Filed under: uncultured bacterium
Lineage: Bacteria
Description: bacterial SSU rRNA
Rfam family: Bacterial small subunit ribosomal RNA
Source: RNAcentral